UGCUUGUUGGGGUUGUAGGACACUCUAUACGGAGUUACAAAAGAACAUGUUAGACGAAUCAUCUGGAAAGAUGAAUCAAAGAAGGUAAUAAUCCUGUAGUCGAAAACAUAUUCUCUCUUGAGUGGAUCCUGAGUACGACGGAGCACGUGAAAUUCCGUCGGAAUCUGGGAGGACCAUCUCCUAAGGCUAAAUACUCUCUAGUGACCGAUAGUGAACCAGUACCGGGAGGGAAAGGUGAAAAGUACCCCGGAAGGGGAGUGAAAGAGAACUUGAAACCGUGUGCUUACAAGUAGUCAGAGCCCGUUAAUGGGUGAUGGCGUGCCUUUUGUAGAAUGAACCGGCGAGUUACGAUCUGAUGCAAGGUUAAGCAGCAAAUGUGGAGCCGCAGCGAAAGCGAGUCUGAAUAGGGCGUUGAGUAUUUGGUCGUAGACCCGAAACCAGGUGAUCUACCCUUGGUCAGGUUGAAGUUCAGGUAACACUGAAUGGAGGACCGAACCGACUUACGUUGAAAAG
Molecule: ribosomal RNA, 513 nt
Filed under: Pectobacterium carotovorum
Lineage: Bacteria; Pseudomonadati; Pseudomonadota; Gammaproteobacteria; Enterobacterales; Pectobacteriaceae
Also listed under: 1 other name
Description: bacterial LSU rRNA
Rfam family: Bacterial large subunit ribosomal RNA
Source: RNAcentral